Molecule: ribosomal RNA, 455 nt
Filed under: uncultured organism
Description: bacterial SSU rRNA
Rfam family: Bacterial small subunit ribosomal RNA
Source: RNAcentral
GUGCACCUGGCGAGAAUUUUUCUCAAUGGGGGCAACCCUGAAGGAGCGACGCCGCGUGGAGGAUGAAGGCUUUCGGGUUGUAAACUCCUGUCAUUUGGGAACAAGUUGGACGCAGUAACUACGCGUCCAUUGAUAGUACCAGAAGAGGAAGGGACGGCUAACUCUGUGCCAGCAGCCGCGGUAAUACAGAGGUCCCAAGCGUUGUUCGGAUUCAUUGGGCGUAAAGGGUGCGUAGGUGGCGCCGUAAGUGGGGUGUGAAAUUUCGGAGCUUAACUCCGAAACUGCAUUCCAUACUGCGGUGCUUGAGGACUGGGGAGGAGACUGGAAUUCAUGGUGUAGCAGUGAAAUGCGUAGAGAUCAUGAGGAAGACCAGUGGCGAAGGCGGGUCCCUGGACAGUUCCUGACACUGAGGCACGAAGGCCAGGGGAGCAAACGGGAUUAGAUACCCGCGUAGU